AAAAGUCCAAAACUUUGCUGUUGGUAGCUGCUCUAGCAUAAGAAUCCCAUCCCAAGGUGCUCUGCUAGAUACAGACCACACGGACACAGCAAUCAAUCACCCCACAAGCUAAGCAAGCAGCAAUGGCGGACCUCGCGGUCGGCCUGGCCAAAUCGGUGGUGGAGGGGGCGCUGACCAAGGCGCAGUCGGCCAUCGAGGAGGACUCCAGGCUCCGGCAGAGCGCGCAGCGGGACCUGGUGUUCAUCACCGGCGAGUUCCAAAUGAUGCAGUCCUUCCUGAAGCUCGCCGACGACGAGCGCACGCGGAACAUCGUGGUGCGGACCUGGGUGCGGCAGAUCCGGGAGCUCGCCUACGACGUGGAGGACUGCAUCGAGUUCGUCCUCCACCUCGACAAGAAGUCCCAGUGGUGGCGCCGCAUGCUCCCGCCCUUCAUCGCGGCGGCCACGCAGCCGCUCGACGAGGCCAUCGCCGAGAUACGGCAGCUCAAGGCCCGAGUCGAGGAUGUGAGCUCCAGGAACGCGCGCUACAGCCUCAUCAGCGACUCCGGCUCCAAGCCCGCCGUCGUGCAGCAGCAACCACCCGCGGCGGCGCGCGCCGCCAUGGGCGCCGCGGCGUUCAGCAUGCUCGUCGAGGCCACGGACAUCGCCAGGCGGCAGCACGGAGAUCUCACCCAGCUCAUCCCCAAGAAGGACGAUGGGCUCCAGGUGAUCUCGGUGUGGGGGACGGGCGGCGAUCUCGGGACGACAUCCAUCAUCAGGAAGGCGUACAACGACCCUGAGAUCUGCCAGAACUUCACCCACCGCGCGUGGGUGAAGCUAACGCAUCCUUUCAAUCCCCACGAGUUCAUCCGGGGAUUGACUGCACAGUUCUAUGCAAACUCUUGCAUAGAAUUACACGAAGAAGCACUCAGAGGCGUCCUGACGAGGUCGGACGCCACCCAAGGCGAUUUUCUCAGUGAGUUUGUGCGGCAAGUCAACGAUGCGAGGUAUCUCAUCGUCUUGGAAAACCUGUCCACCAUGGCUGAGUGGGAUUCUAUCAGGACUUUUCUACCUGACAAGAAGAAUGGAAGCUGGAUCAUCGUGUCCACUCAGCAAUUCGAGAUAGCAAGCUUGUGCGUGGGACAUUCGUACCAAGUAUUGGAGCUGAAGCAGUUCUCUGCUGAGCACUCGGUUUAUGCCUUCAGAGAGGGUUCCCAAGGUGAUAGAGAGAAAGAUGAGGAGAUACCUGCUGAGCAUGGAGUGGGACCUGCCACAAUUCUCACCUCUAAAAAUAAUGCCGCUACUGCCUGGAUGAAAAAGAACUCCAUCAUUGGACGCGAGUCAGAAAUGAAUGAGCUUCGUGAAUAUACAACCAGGGCACGAUUUACCUCUUUGCAGGUUAUAUCUGUAUGGGGAAUAGCUGGUGUCGGGAAGUCAGCUCUUCUAAAAAAAUUCUUCUGCGACAGAAUUCGUACUAAUCUAUUUGUGAAAUAUGGUUGGGUGGAUGUAUCCCAUCCCUUCAAUUUAAGGGACUUCUCUAGGAGCUUACUUUUGGAUUUUCAUUCGGAAUCACUUCAAGACAAGGAGGCUGCUCACCAUGGAACGAUAAGGUUCAAAAACCCUAUUCAAGAGUGCCGUGAUCUUCUGGAACAACAUCAUUGCCUCGUCGUUAUUGACGAUCUUCAGUCCAAGGAAGAAUGGGACUUGAUAAAAGGUGCCUUGUUGUCUAGAUCCUCUGAAAGUAUUAUCAUUGUCAUUACGACUGAUUCAAGCAUCGCCACAUGUUGCGCGGAUAAGGAAGAGCUUGUGUUUAAUGUCAAAGGUCUUCAAGAUGAUGCAGCCUCUGAUCUCUUCCACCAGGAGGUGGAAAGGAUGAAGCCAUCGUCCACCUUGAAGAAUCUCAAAAAAGAGCCACUAGAGGAGCUUAUUCUCAAGUGUGGCGGGCUUCCAGAAGUAAUAGUAGCCAUAGCUGGUGUAUUGGCCAAGAAGACAGUCACACUAAUGGAUACAGUGGAUUCUACCAAUGGCAAAUUCAUGCAUACAUUGGAAACCAACCCAGAGUACGACAGUCUACAAGGUCUAUUCGGUUGGAUGUAUUCCUACUUCCGUAGUUGCCCAGAUUCCCUCAAGCCUUGCAUAUUCUACAUGUCGCUUUUCCCCCGAGAUCACAGCAUUCGGCGGAGACGCGUGGUGAGGCGGUGGGUCGCGGAGGGCUACUGUCGGGAUAGUGAAGACAAAUCGGCAGAGCAAAAUGGGGAGGUGUUCUUCUCCAUGCUCCUGGAUCUGAGCAUAAUACAGGAACCGUCACAGCUAGUGACCACCCCAGUGGGAGACACAAGGAUGAUCGCAUGCCGUGUCAAUGGCUUCAUCCGUGAAUACAUUGUCUCACGUCGGAUGGAGGAGAACCUUGUCUUUGAGCUGGAGGGCUCCUGCAACGUGACCACCCAACGAACCGGUCGUCACCUCAUCAUAAGGGAUAGCUGGGACAGGGACAAGAUUGUGUUUGAGAGCAUGGACUUCUCGAGGCUACGGUCAUUAACGGUAUUUGGGGAGUGGAAACAAUUCUUCAUCUCCGAAAGCAUGAAGCUGCUCAGGGUGCUUGAUCUAGAGGACGCAUCAGGCAUAAAGGAUGCGGAUCUCGAGCAGAUGUUGAAGCAACUCCGUCGUCUCAAGUUCCUCUCACUGCGCGGAUGUGGUGAGAUCCACCGUUUGCCAACCCCGUUUGGUCAUCUGCAGCAACUCCAGACUCUCGAUAUCAAACGCACCUCCAUUAUGAAACUGCCAGGGAACAUCACCAAGCUGCAAAAAUUGCAGUAUAUCCGUGCCGGCACCUCCGUCCAGGCAGAGGAAUCAUUAACACCAUGUCUUUCAGUGCCCAAAUUCUGCGGAUCUCGUGGCCAAGUUGGUGUUGUGGUGCCUGGAGGGAUUGACAAACUGACAGCGUUGCACACGCUUGGUGUUGUCAACGUCGGUGCAUCAGGGGGGAAGGCCAUCCUUAAAGAGCUCGAAGAUCUGACCCAAUUGCGCAAGCUCGGAGUGUCUGGUAUCAACAUGAGAAAUAGCAAGAAGUUUUCCUCUGCAAUCUCAGGUCAUGUCCAUUUGGAAUCCUUAUCGGUGCAGCUGGACAAUGACAGUGAAGGUUGCUUGUCUGGCAUCAAAUUGCCUUUGAAGACACUGCAGAGUCUGAAACUGCAUGGGCCUGUAGAGAAGUUGCCAGUUUUGGAGGUCAGCGAGCUUAAAAAGCUGACAAAAUUGGAUCUGGAAAUGACCACAUUGACAGAGACUGACAAAAGGCUCAUCGGGAGUCUACCCAAAUUAUGCACUCUUCGUAUCAAGCUGCUGCAAGAUAGUCAGCUCGGUUUUUUUAUCACAGAUACUGGAAGUGGCCUUGAGUUGCCCACUUAUGAAAAGGUCAAGGUCCUCGAGAUUGCUUCCUGCUCCAGCUUAGAUGUUACUUUUGGAGAAAAAACAAUGAAAAGUCUUGAGCUGCUGAAGGCUCACUGCUGCAGUGGGUCUUCAGUGAAGUUCUCCGGCCUGGAUAAUCUAACUGAACUCAAGGUAGUCUUGCUUAAGGGUUGCUGUGACGACGAACUGAAGGAAGAGCUGCGGACCCAACUCAACGGUCAUCCAAAGAAACUGACUCUGAAGCUGGAGGCAUAGCCACGUUCGUCCUGAUGGAUACUGAUCUCUGAAUGAUAGAUACCUGCACCUUGGCAUUGUUGGAUUGGAUCAACAGCCUCCAUCUUGGGAUCUUGUGAGAACUCCUGUUUUUGGUAUGAAUCAUAUUUACUGCUUGUACUUGAUGUGAAACCAUGCAAUCUAGCUAUCAUGUGGCUCAGGGGUGAGCUGCAAGAGUUGACUUGAGAUUAUAAAUUGCUGAUGUGAUGCAAUAAAUAUUAUCUCAGUGCAUAUAUUUCUAAAGGAAAAAUACAUGAAAAAGAGUUACCUUGAGGUACCUGCAUUUCUAUUUUCUUCUUUGACAUGAUAAUUGGCAUGCAUCUUAGAUGAGCAUUGUUAGCAAAUUAGAAUUGUAUUAGCAAUUUGGUUUGGUCCAUUCUUAUCUGUAAAAAAAGAGUUACUAAUCCUGCUAAUGUGAGUUCUCUGAUUAUUAGAGUAUUUUGUCUCAAGCCUGCAUAUCGUGUCGAUAUUCUAAAAAUGCACAUGAAUCCUGAAUAGUAAUGCACCAAUGCUCUGCAUCUGGAACUAAUUUUAAAUGAAUAUUUAUGCAGCACUUGAAAGAUUGCU
RNA transcript from Lolium perenne, 4223 nucleotides. It is a transcript of the gene named disease resistance protein RGA4, with no coding region annotated. The record is from RefSeq and is a predicted model, not a curated record. NCBI's taxonomy places the organism in Eukaryota, Viridiplantae, Streptophyta, Magnoliopsida, Poales, Poaceae.